Molecule: ribosomal RNA, 775 nt
Filed under: uncultured Neocallimastigales
Lineage: Eukaryota; Fungi; Neocallimastigomycota; Neocallimastigomycetes; Neocallimastigales
Description: partial large subunit ribosomal RNA
Rfam family: Eukaryotic large subunit ribosomal RNA
Source: RNAcentral
UAUCUCUGUAGAGUCUGCAUAUCAAUAAGCGGAGGAAAAGAAACUAACAAGGAUUCCCUUAGUAACGGCGAGUGAAGCGGGAAGAGCUCAAAUUUGAAAUCUUCAAGGUUCUACCUUGACGAAUUGUAGUUUAAAGAAGUGUUUUCUGUUAGAUGAGUAGCAAAAGUUCCUUGGAAUGGGACAUCAUAGAGGGUGAGAAUCCCGUAUUUGGUUAUUCAUUCUAGCUUUGUGAUACACUUUCAAAGAGUCGGAUUGUUUGGGAAUGCAGUCCAAAAUGGGUGGUAAAUUUCAUCUAAAGCUAAAUAUUGGCGAGAGACCGAUAGCGAACAAGUACCGUGAGGGAAAGAUGAAAAGAACUUUGAAAAGAGAGUUAAACAGUACGUGAAAUUGUCAAAAGGGAAGCGUUUGACACCAGUGUUGUUUUUCUCGAAAAUCAAUUACGAAUGGCUUGAUUUUGUGUUGUAUUGACCUUAUCAGCUUUCUUCACUUUUUUCGAGUCUUUCUUAAUGCACUUUUUGGUUAACAAGUCAACAUCAAUUUCUUUUGUUGUAAAAGAGUAUUCGGAAGGUGGCUUUCUUUUCGGAGAAAGUGUUUAUAGCCCUAUACUUCUACAAUCGGAGAGAUUGAGGUCUGCAGCGUAGAUCCUUCGGGGUUAGAUACACUUGUGCUAAGUUGUAGCUUUUCAUAGACAACUUGUUGACUAUGUUUAGUCAUGCGGCUUACUCGCUUGUGCUAUUUUACCUACGCUUAGGAUGUUGACUGAUAUGUAGUCGUA